GACGAACGCUGGCGGCGUGCUUAACACAUGCAAGUCGAACGGAAAGGCCCUGCUUUUGUGGGGUGCUCGAGUGGCGAACGGGUGAGUAACAAGUGAGUAACCUGCCCUUGACUUUGGGAUAACUUCAGGAAACUGGGGCUACUACCGGAUAGUAGCUCCUGCUGCAUGGUGGGGGUUGGAAAGUUUCGGCGGUUGGGGAUGGACUCGCGGCUUAUCAGCUUGUUGGUGGGGUAGUGGCUUACCCAGGCUUUGACGGGUCGCCGGCCUGAGAGGGGGACCGGCCACAUUGGGACUGAGAUACGGCCCAGAGUCCUACGGGAGGCAGCAGUGGGGAAUAUUGCACAAUGGGCGGAAGCCUGAUGCAGCAACGCCGCGUGCGGGAUGACGGCCUUCGGGGUGUAAACCGCUUUCGCCUGUGACGAAGCGUGAGUGACGGUAAUGGGUAAAGAAGCACCGGCUAACUACGUG
RNAcentral lists this ribosomal RNA (468 nucleotides) under uncultured bacterium. RNAcentral describes it as "partial 16S ribosomal RNA". It matches the Rfam family "Bacterial small subunit ribosomal RNA", at positions 28 to 507 of the family's 1533-position model. The record is from RNAcentral.